Molecule: non-coding RNA, 45 nt
Organism: Solenopsis invicta (red fire ant)
Lineage: Eukaryota; Metazoa; Arthropoda; Insecta; Hymenoptera; Formicidae
Source: Rfam
CAAACAGCCCUUGUCAGGGCCACUAACAUACAAAAAAACAAAAAG